UUUCACAUGUGGGUGAAUUAGAUUCACCCACAUGUGAAUGUGUUAAUUUGUUUCACAUAUGGGUGAAUCUAAUUCACCCACAUGUGAAU
RNAcentral lists this microRNA precursor (89 nucleotides) under Melampsora larici-populina 98AG31. Its description in RNAcentral is "microRNA MIR807". Lineage: Eukaryota; Fungi; Basidiomycota; Pucciniomycetes; Pucciniales; Melampsoraceae. The record is from RNAcentral.